AUCUAACUGAUGAGUCCGAAAUAAGAUGAAAUGCGCGUCCUAGAU
This is a non-coding RNA of Schistosoma haematobium, 45 nucleotides long. Lineage: Eukaryota; Metazoa; Platyhelminthes; Trematoda; Strigeidida; Schistosomatidae. The record is from Rfam.